UGCAGCAUUGUUUAAUAUGGUGGGGAAUCUCACGCUGUCUCGGGAUUUGGUGGAUCCAUAUUCGACGAUAUCCUCUGAAUUUUGCGACACUUUGUCAGGAUUCCAUCAGUGUCUGCUCCAUCCUAAUAUUUCUGAUUUGUUUCCCUGGCUAAGUAGGUUUGACCUGCAAGGAAUAAGGAGGAGAAUGGACGGAUAUUUAGGCAAAGCCAUAGAAAUAAUCUCCGGAUUUGUGAAGGAGCGUGUGAAAGAGAGACAAAAAACGCAGAAAUUAUCAUCAGAGCAAAAGAAGGACUUCUUGGAUGUGCUGUUAGAUUAUAGGGGAACCGGAAGGGAUGAACUAGAUUCACUAUCAGAGCACCAAGUCACAAUUUUCCUAAUGGUAAGUACUUCUAAUUGUAUAUUUUGCGGAUUAGUAUUUGGUGAAAACACUAAUUUUACAAGUGCAUAACAUGCAGGAAAUGUUCAUUGCUGGAACACACACGUCAAGCACCACGACUGAGUGGGCGCUGAGUGAGCUCUUGCAGAAUCCUGAUCAAAUGAAGAAGGUUAAAGCCGAGCUUGCUAGAGUCGUUGGAGCCAAGACUAGACUACAAGAGAGUGACAUUGAUAAUCUCCCUUACUUGCAAGCAAUUAUGGAGGAAACGCUACGCCUCCAUCCUCCAGCUCCAAUUUUACUUCCAAGAAAGGCGGCUCAAGAUACCACUUUCAUGGGCUAUAACAUCCCGAAAAAUACACAAGUUCUAGUCAAUAGCUGGGCAAUUGGAAGAGAUGAGGAGAAUUGGAAGGAUGCUUUGUCAUUUAGGCCUGAAAGGUUUCUCAACUCGAAUAUUAAUUCCAAGGGUCAGAACUACGAGCUUUUACCAUUUGGCGCUGGGAGGAGGAUUUGUCCGGGCAUUCCAUUAGCUCAUCGCAUGGUGCCCUUAGUCCUCGGCUCCCUGCUUCACCAUUUUGAGUGGGAGCUUUGUGAUGGUCUGAAGAAGAUAGACAUGACGGAGACGUUGGGGGCAACUGCAACUAAACGAGAACUCUUGCGUGCAAUCCCAAAGCUCAAGACAAUAUAAAUACAGAGUUUGUGUGAUCGAAAUAAUGUCAAGUGUGUUUACUUUUAUUAUGUUUAACCAUUUCAACGCGUUAAAAGAUUGUUGCCAAUAAUCAUUUGUCACACGGUGAAUAUGUCAGGUUUUGAGGGCCUCAAGUCUGCAAAUUCUGUCCUUUAAAAUUUUUCUGAACUGUCAGUACUUCUUACGAGUUCAGAUUAUGUAUCAUUAGAUACCGUUAUGGCUUUAUUAUCACCUUGAUACUCUUGCUGAUCAUUUUGAUAUGUGACUCAUUGGGCGAUCAAUCGGAAAAUUAUCAGAUAUCUGUAAAUGUAUGUAAAGAAGGAAAAACAUGCAUUUUUCAAGCAGUGUUGUAAAAAAUGAAAAUCAUCAUUCAUCGUAAUACCAGAGUUUUAGAACACUAGUUGUUAAACAACCUUGUAAAGUUUGAAAAUCUAUGCAUUCGACUUAACUGAACACUGCCAAUUUCAAAUAUACAACUAGUCGAGCCGCGCAACACACAUUAACUCCACAUUGUCCGCCUGGGCCGUGACCAAACUCGCAUGGAUUUAUUUUUGGACUCCUCCCGAAAGACCUCAUACUAAUGGGGUUGUUUUGGCUGCUUAUAUUCAAAACAAAUCUUUUCCUUCUUUAUGAUGUCGGACUACGGUUGACACCCACUCAACAUGUACAACUACUUUUGGGUGUGAUCAAUCGAGUGAAAAUCGGAUACAAACACUUUCUGCAGAGAACUUGUACUAAUAGUUUGCCAUGCAUAUUAGUUCUUCUGGCUAAAUGAGCAGUUCUGGAACCAUUCUGCUGUGUGUGUAAUGAUGCAACUGAAACUUUAUUUUGUUUAAGCAAGUAGUGGCCCUUUAUCGUGGUGUCACAAGCCCCUUUCGCUGAGGCCUUGGCAUGCAGAGAGGUUUUAAGUUGGUCGAAGAGGAUUGCCAGAUGCUCUGCAGAAUGUUAGUUCCAAGGCACAUGUUUAGUGUUUUAUUUCUCUUUUUUGAACUUUAUUAAAUAACAAAAGAUUCGAUUGUGUUAUCAGUUUCCUGAAAAUUGAACUUGGGAACAGACGUAAUUAGUAUAGUAAUGAGUAGCACGUUAUAGAGGCCGAGACGUGGCAGUUGGAUUCCUUCUUGGUGGAUUGUACUGUCUUUUAGGUCCGUGAACUUGGCGUGCUCAAUAAUUGAAGGAGCGUGCUGCUUCGCUAAAAUGUGCCCAAACAUGGCACAGAACAUGAAACACAACUUUGGAAAUCAGCGGAGUGUCACUUAUAGUAUAAAGUAAGAAAUCAGUUAGAACGCGAAUGGAGAAAAAAAUAUCACCCUGUCAGUUGUCACUAGCUGAUAAUAUAGAAUAUGAUGGGGCUGACAAUUUGGAAAAUGAAGGGCGUUAAUGAUUUACGUCGACUCAUGGCUGGCUCUGGCUAUAAACUGUGCUCAUAACUUCAACAUGCUAGCCGACGUAGUGUGUUCACAGGUUCAGUUGCUAAGAAGUUCACAAGUCUCAGCUUCUCAGGUAUGCAGAAUUUUUGCAGAAUCUCAAAAAUAAUUUCACAGAAUUUUUGGGGAAUUUUUCACUUUGAGGAAUUGAUUCAUGCAUGUAGACAUUACAGGUAUAACUGUUCAAUUUAUAAGAAAUUUUAUUUUGACUCUGAACAGCAGAUCUGAAAUUGUGUCAUGGAGUGGAACUGGAACUAUGUCAUAUGGUCCGCAUUGAUAUGUUUGAUUUCACUUGUUUGGAGCUUGAGGAAGAAUAGUUACAGACGUUCAAAGCUCCCUCCUGGCCCUAAGGGCUGGCCAUUGUUCGGAAAUCUUUUUGAUCUUGGAAGCUUGCCUCACAGGAGUUUGGAAGCACUAAAACAGGACUAUGGUCCUGUUGUGUGGUUAGAUCUUGGCAGCGUCAAGACCAUGGUGCUUCUUUCUGCUGCCCCUGUCGAAGAGUUAUUCAAGAGUCAUGAUCUCUCCUUCAUCAACCGGAUCACUAAUGAUGCAAUGAGGUCACAUGAUUACUACCAGAGCUCUAUAGCAUUUGGUCCAUAUAGUGUCUACUGGCGCACCUUGAGGCGGAUAUGUACCUCUGAGCUCUUUGCAAAUAAGAGGCUCAAUGAAACGAUGAUGAAUAGGCAAAAAAGCGUGGAUGAAAUGUUGCUAUGGAUCCAGAAGGAAGCAGAAAGAGGUACUAGUGGAAUCAUAGUUCGACAUUAUGUGUUUCCAGCAUUGUUCAACAUGAUUGGGAAUGUCACGCUGUCUCAGGACCUAGUGGAUCCACAGUCGAAGACCUCCUCUGAUUUUGGCAUCGCGUUGGAUGGUUUCCAUCAAUGUCUAGGCCGUCCCAAUAUAUCUGAUCUGUUACCCUGGCUAAGAAGGUUCGACCUCCAAGGAAUAAGGAGGAAAAUGGAUCAAGAUUUAGGAAAAUGCCUAGAAAUUAUUUCAGUAUUCGUCAAGGAGCGUGUGAAGCAGAGGCAACUACAAGAAUCAUCACAACAGAGGCAACUAC
RNAcentral lists this long non-coding RNA (3542 nucleotides) under Daucus carota (carrot). RNAcentral's name for it is "long non-coding RNA (DCAR_LNC005881)". The record is from RNAcentral. Lineage: Eukaryota; Viridiplantae; Streptophyta; Magnoliopsida; Apiales; Apiaceae.